RNAcentral lists this ribosomal RNA (254 nucleotides) under uncultured bacterium. Its description in RNAcentral is "partial 16S ribosomal RNA". It matches the Rfam family "Bacterial small subunit ribosomal RNA", at positions 524 to 776 of the family's 1533-position model. The record is from RNAcentral.
UACGGGGGGAGCAAGCGUUGUUCGGAUUUACUGGGCGUAAAGGGCGCGUAGGCGGUCGUGACAAGUCACUUGUGAAAUCUCCGGGCUUAACUCGGAACGGUCAAGUAAUACUGUCGGACUAGAGUACAGAAGGGGCAACUGGAAUUCUCGGUGUAGCGGUGAAAUGCGUAGAUAUCGAGAGGAACACCUGCGGCGAAGGCGGGUUGCUGGGCUGAUACUGACGCUGAGGCGCGAAAGCCAGGGGAGCGAACGGG